This 1473-nucleotide long non-coding RNA is filed under the name Malus domestica (apple). RNAcentral's name for it is "long non-coding RNA (MDOM_LNC003383)". Lineage: Eukaryota; Viridiplantae; Streptophyta; Magnoliopsida; Rosales; Rosaceae. The record is from RNAcentral.
CGAAGAAGAACGAGAUUGGGCGGCGGUGGAUAGGGAAGUGGCGGAGGUGGCGGUGGAGAGGGAGCGAGAGAGAAAUGAAGCCAUGGCUUGGGACUUGGGAAUCGAGCGAGAGAAGAAAUGGGUCGCCAUGGUUGAUCGCGACCAGGGUUUGGGGCUUUGAUAAACCCUAGAGUGAGAGGGGGAGAUAAGGGCGGUGUUAGGGUUUUGGCGGAGGUUUUAUAGCAGUGACUGAGUGAUGAUAAAUACCCCCUCGAUUUUCAAUUUAUCAGUAUAUCUCAAAAUGGCAUGCCAAUUAUCUUCUCCUUUUUUUAUAGUUAUUUGUGCUUUUAAAUUUUAUUUUGUUUUUCUUUUUUUUUUAUAUUUUUUUUACAAACGACAACUUUAUGGAGUAAAAUUAUUAGUUGUAAGGGAGAGAUAUCGGUGGGGAUUGAAACCGCACUGAGAUGCAUAGGCAUGUUUGCUGUCUAUCGUUGCGGUAAAGUGUUAUCUGUUUUUCAUCUUCUAAAUGUGACACGUGUGAAGAAAAAAAUUUGAGCAUGACAAUCUAAUCAGUUGGAUGACCAUGCAAUUUUACAAGGGUACAAACUUCUCAAUAUUUAAGUACAAUCUAGCUCCAUGUUAAUCUUCGAGAUUCUUUGUCUUUCUAUAGAAGUGAUUUAGUAAUUUAAAAACAUUAUUAAAGGCUUUAAGCGAUAUCUUUUUCUCAGAAAAAUAUCUUUCGUAAAGACUAAUGAAGCACCUCUGACCUGCUUUCUUAUGAAAUCACUUAAACUAAAAGUGAUUCUAUUUUCAUUUAAAACAAUUUAAAAUUUUUCUAACUGAAGUGAUAUUAGUCUUCACAUAAUCAUUAUGUUUAACUUCUUACAUUCAUCUGUUUAAUUAUGACCAUUGAUUUCAUUUGACAUGAUUAAUCCAAUAACUAUAAAUAAAUAAAAAGAUGUGUGAUGAGCUAAAAAUUUCGUGUGAAAAUCACUUCCGAACUGUAAGCCUUUUAUUUCUUACUUGGGCUAAAGCCCAUAAUCAAGAUGGGCUUGGCUGCGUUUGGCACACUCAAUAUCAAUUAGAUUUAAUUGACUAAUUGGUCAAAUACAGUAAAAUUCCCACCAAACUGGCAUGAUAUAUGGUGAUGAGUUAGAGUGCGGCAGAUAGUGAAAUUCCCACCAACAUCAACCCUACACAGUCAAUAUUCUGCUCACCUGAAUGAACUUCCCAACCCAAGUCACGUGAUGUAUUAUUUUAUAUGUUGUAAUAAGCGUGAAUGACGAAUCAACUAGUUAUCAUUUAAGUAAAAUAGUAAUGUUACGUGACUGUGUUCCAAAUACAUGGAAAAGUUACGUCAAAAUUUAUGUUUGCCAACAAGAAAACUAGUUAGGGACAAUAUCAAAGGUUUGGCUUCUCCUCUACGUACCCUAACUUGUACAGCAAACACACAGUUUGGUGUGUUAGCUCAUCUCCUCUAUUUCAUACACACUA